CCUACGGGCGGCAGCAGUGGGGAAUAUUGCACAAUGGGGGGAACCCUGAUGCAGCGACGCCGCGUGGGUGAAGGAGUGCUUCGGCAUGUAAAGCCCUAUCGGCAGGGAAGAAGCAAGACGGUACCUGACUAAGAAGCCCCGGCUAACUCCGGGCCAGAAGCCGCGGUAAUACGUAGGGGGGGAGCGUUAUCCGGAUUGACUGGGGGUAAAGGGAGCGGAGACGGGAAUGCAAGUCAGGGGGGAAGGCCCGGGGCCCAACCCGGGGACUGCCCUUGAAACUGCAUGGCUGGAGUGCGGGAGGGGAAGGCGGAAUUCCGGGUGUAGCGGUGAAAUGCGUAGAUAUCAGGAGGAACACCGGCGGCGAAGGCGGCCUGCUGGACCGCGACUGACGUUGAGGCGCGAAAGCGUGGGGAGCGAACAGGAUUAGAUACCCUUGUAGUC
This 441-nucleotide ribosomal RNA is filed under the name uncultured bacterium. RNAcentral's name for it is "partial 16S ribosomal RNA". It matches the Rfam family "Bacterial small subunit ribosomal RNA", at positions 338 to 795 of the family's 1533-position model. The record is from RNAcentral.